AAAAGUAUACAAAAUCUGCAAACUUUGCAAGGCUAUAUUUUCCUCAUUUUACAACAUUUCGCAACCAAACUUUGCAAUUUUACUCAUUUUGGUAUGCUCUUUCUAGCUGUGGUGAUUUAUUUGCAUCUCCUUGCCUAGUUUUAAAAUUAGUCUAUAAUGGGAAUUGUCUAUAUUACACUGUGAAAUAGGUUAUUUUACAACCUUUCUUAGUUACCUCUUGUCAUUCCCGAGAUAUUUUGCGUUUGUUUGAUGCGCAAAUGAAAUAAACCUAUGACGUGACAAGCUGGUAAAAUAUUUUCAAAGAUGGCAGUCAGCCAAAGUCACAAAGCUCGCUGUUCA
Non-coding RNA from Paramuricea clavata, 339 nucleotides. Lineage: Eukaryota; Metazoa; Cnidaria; Anthozoa; Malacalcyonacea; Plexauridae. The record is from the annotation of a GenBank genome assembly.